RNAcentral lists this long non-coding RNA (650 nucleotides) under Medicago truncatula (barrel medic). RNAcentral's name for it is "long non-coding RNA (MTRU_LNC008881)". Lineage: Eukaryota; Viridiplantae; Streptophyta; Magnoliopsida; Fabales; Fabaceae. The record is from RNAcentral.
GAUCAAAUCUUGUUUUUUUGUUGUUGCUGUUGGUUUUAAGCUGGUUAGCGGCGAAACUCACACACACAUUAUGUACUGAGAAGUGGAGAAUUGUGGGUUCAAACCUGCGUUCCAACAUAUCAAAUGUCCCUGCAAAAUUUUACCAUCUGAGUUGUACUUACGGGACAAUCUCAGUGUUAUUUGUUUGUGUUUUCUUUUGAACCUGAUUGUUGUAACAUACUAAAAUCAUCUUAUUAACAGGCCUGCAUUGGAUCAAGAAGUUGUAGUAUUGGAGUAUCAACCGAUACAUUUGGAGACCCUUGUAAAGGAGUGCCAAAGAGUUUAGCCGUUGAAGCUACUUGUGCAUAGACAAACAUGUAACAUGUUGCUCCAAGAGCAGUCAUCAAUUGUCUUCAACUCUUAUCUUAAAUUCUUCUUCCCUUUCCAAAUUAGAAUUGUAUUCUAGGAACAUCCCAAUUUAUUUUUCUUCAAUUAGAAUAGUUUAGUACCACUUGCAAUAAAAGAAACAAAAAUGUGGUCCUUAUGAUGUUUGAUACGUGAUAAAAUGGUCCCAUAUACUUGUAAUACAAGUUGCCCUCAGGGGGAGGGACCUGAACAGUGAAAAGUGGAAAAUUUGGACUUUUGGAGUAUGAACCAAGUUGGAUUAUUAG